GGGACCAAAGGAACAUACAGUCAAACUUAUUAGCCUCGCUACGAAUAGCCAAUGACACCGUAGGUUAAAAAACCACUCACAACAUUGCAGUAUCAAGAAGACCACUGAUGAGUGAAUAGAUAUCUAUGUGAUUUCUUGUAUUGGUCACACUCAGUGUAAGUUGUUCUCUAACAACUACCUACACUCUCACCCUAGUAUCCCUACACUGC
RNAcentral lists this long non-coding RNA (209 nucleotides) under Elaeis guineensis (African oil palm). RNAcentral describes it as "long non-coding RNA (EGUI_LNC067231)". Lineage: Eukaryota; Viridiplantae; Streptophyta; Magnoliopsida; Arecales; Arecaceae. The record is from RNAcentral.